RNAcentral lists this long non-coding RNA (528 nucleotides) under Solanum tuberosum (potato). Its description in RNAcentral is "long non-coding RNA (STUB_LNC003514)". The record is from RNAcentral. Lineage: Eukaryota; Viridiplantae; Streptophyta; Magnoliopsida; Solanales; Solanaceae.
UGUUGUUGUUGUUGUUGGUUCUCAUUUAUAGUUGUUGGUUGAAGCUUGUCGGAAAUGGUGAGAACGAAGGCAGUUUGGUCGGAGAAGGUGAGGAGGACAAGAAGAAGGCAAUAAGUUUGGGUUUGGUUUGGAACUAAAACAAGGGGUCAAUGUAAAAAAUUAUUGAGUUUUUUUUGUUUGAUUUUCAACUUAUCUUGGUAGGUUUUUCAAUUUAUUUUCGAAUUUAUUUGUUGUUUAGUUUGGAUUUGAUCUAUUUGUGUCUUUGUUUGGUUUUGGGGUUUUAAUCAAUUACAUUGAUUUUGUUGAAAUUUUUUGGGGAUUUUGCAUUUUUGUGCCUAAUGUUAGUGUAAGAUGCUUUGGUAGUAGUUGUAUGCCUUCCAUGGCGUUUUUCAUAAAAAAAAAAAAAAAGAGUCGUAUAAUAACAAGAAACGAUAGAGAAGAAAUUUUUGGGAAAAAGAUCGGAAAAGAGGCCAAGAAAACCUCAAAUUCUAUCCAACAAUGGUGUUAGAUGCAAAUAGGAAGAUGAUG